GACGAGCUGGCGGCGUGCUUAACACAUGCAAGUCGAACGGAAAGGCCCUGCUUUUGUGGGGUGCUCGAGUGGCGAACGGGUGAGUAACACGUGAGUAACCUGCCCUUGACUUUGGGAUAACUUCAGGAAACUGGGGCUAAUACCGGAUAGGAGCUCCUGCUGCAUGGUGGGGGUUGGAAAGUUUCGGCGGUUGGGGAUGGACUCGCGGCUUAUCAGCUUGUUGGUGGGGUAGUGGCUUACCAAGGCUUUGACGGGUAGCCGGCCUGAGAGGGUGACCGGCCACAUUGGGACUGAGAUACGGCCCAGACUCCUACGGGAGGCAGCAGUGGGGAAUAUUGCACAAUGGGCGGAAGCCUGAUGCAGCAACGCCGCGUGCGGGAUGACGGCCUUCGGGUUGUAAACCGCUUUCGCCUGUGACGAAGCGUGAGUGACGGUAAUGGGUAAAGAAGCACCGGCUAACUACGUG
Molecule: ribosomal RNA, 466 nt
Filed under: uncultured bacterium
Lineage: Bacteria
Description: partial 16S ribosomal RNA
Rfam family: Bacterial small subunit ribosomal RNA
Source: RNAcentral